CGGUAAUUCCAGCUCCACUGGCGUAUAUUAACGUUGCUGCAGUUAAAGAGCUCGUAGUUGGAUGUGUGGAGGCCGGGAGGCGGCGAGGCCAAGCGUUUCGCAAGCAGACCGGCAGCCAUUAGCCUUUCAAGAUUUGCGGGCAUUGAGUUGUCUGCUGAUUGUCGAGAGGCCAUUUACUGUGAGAAAAGGAGAGUGUUCAAAGCGGGCGAAAGCUGGAAUACAUUAGCGUGGGAUGAUGAGAUAGAACAGAGGUUUUAUUUCGUUGGUUUAUGAGCCUUUGUGAUGAUAUAGAGGGGCAGUUGGGGGUAUUCAUACUUGCCAGUCAGAGGUGAAAUUCUUGGAUUUGGCAAAGAUGGACUGGUGCGAAAGCAUUUACCAAGGAUGUUCUCGCUAAUCAAGAACGAAAGUUAGGGGAUCGAAGAGGAUUAGAUACCCUCGUAGUCCUAACCGUAAACGAUGCCGACUCGGGAUUGGGCACUGUUGUUUGAGACGUGCUCAGGACCGUUCGAGAAAUCAAAGUCUUUGGGUUCCGGGGGGAGUAUGGUCGCAAGGCUGAAACUUAAAGGAAUUGACGGAAGGGCACCACCAGGAGUGGAGCCUGCGGCUUAAUUUGACUCAACACGGGGAAACUUACCAGGUCCGGACAUGAGAAGGAUUGACAGAUUGAGAGUUCUUUCUUGAUUUCAUGGGUGGUGGUGCAUGGCCGUUCUUAGUUGGUGGAGCGAUUUGUCUGGUUAAUUCCGUUAACGAACGAGACCUCCGCCUGCUAAAUAGGUGCUGCAAUUCUGAGAUUGUAGCAGCUUCUUAGAGGGACUUUGGGCGUUUAGCCCGAGGAAGUUGGAGGCAAUAACAGGUCUGUGAUGCCCUUAGAUGUCCUGGGCUGCACGCGCGCUACACUGAUGCGUUCAGAGAGCGAUCCUUGGCUGACAAGUCACGGGAAAUCUCGAAAGCGUAUCGUGAUGGGGAUAGAUGAUUGGAAUUAUUCAUCUUGAACGAGGAAUUCCUAGUAAACGCGAGUCAUCUGCUCGCAUUGAUUACGUCCCUGCUCCUUGU
Molecule: ribosomal RNA, 1053 nt
Filed under: uncultured eukaryote
Lineage: Eukaryota
Description: SSU rRNA
Rfam family: Eukaryotic small subunit ribosomal RNA
Source: RNAcentral